This 91-nucleotide transfer RNA is filed under the name compost metagenome. Its description in RNAcentral is "tRNA-Glu". The record is from RNAcentral.
GCUCGACCUGGUUGACGCUGGGCACGACCUCGCUUGCCUUCAGCAAGCGCUCGAGAUGCGGGAUCUUGAAGUUGGAAACGCCAAUCGAGCG